Molecule: small RNA, 28 nt
Filed under: Bombyx mori (domestic silkworm)
Lineage: Eukaryota; Metazoa; Arthropoda; Insecta; Lepidoptera; Bombycidae
Description: ovarian small RNA-30119
Source: RNAcentral
UCUUCGAACUUUCCGAUAAUGGUGCUUA